RNAcentral lists this transfer RNA (92 nucleotides) under Felis catus (domestic cat). It matches the Rfam family "tRNA". Rfam says of the family: Transfer RNA (tRNA) molecules are approximately 80 nucleotides in length. Their secondary structure includes four short double-helical elements and three loops (D, anti-codon, and T loops). Further hydrogen bonds mediate the characteristic L-shaped molecular structure. tRNAs have two regions of fundamental functional importance: the anti-codon, which is responsible for specific mRNA codon recognition, and the 3' end, to which the tRNAs corresponding amino acid is attached (by aminoacyl-tRNA synthetases). tRNAs cope with the degeneracy of the genetic code in two manners: having more than one tRNA (with a specific anti-codon) for a particular amino acid; and 'wobble' base-pairing, i.e. permitting non-standard base-pairing at the 3rd anti-codon position. The record is from Rfam by way of RNAcentral. Lineage: Eukaryota; Metazoa; Chordata; Mammalia; Carnivora; Felidae.
GCCUGAGUGGCUCAGUUGGUUAAGCACCUGACUCUUGGUCUCGGCUCAGGUCAUGAUCUCACGGUUCGUGGAUUCGAGCCCCACAUCAGGCU